Molecule: unclassified non-coding RNA, 2230 nt
Filed under: Hevea brasiliensis (rubber tree)
Lineage: Eukaryota; Viridiplantae; Streptophyta; Magnoliopsida; Malpighiales; Euphorbiaceae
Source: RNAcentral
GUGCACAUAAAAGGUAUGGAUUCCUCCAUGAAAAUCAGGAAGUGAUAAUUAGCCAUUUUCUGCUCGGUCAUAUGCAUUGGACUUAUGCUUUGGUGCAAAUGUAAAUCCAUCUGGAACUUUGCCGAGCAACAUUUCAGAUAUUCGAAUCCAGUCAGCAGCAGAAUCAGAAGCCAUAAGAGUUUCAAGGUCAUCACGACCAUAGUAGGAGGGUGGGCGCCAGUUAAUCUGUUGUGGAAUGACAUCCAAAAGACCAACAGGUAUAUACCUACAUGUGUAGCUAAGCCAUUCCAAUAAGAAAUGCCUAGUUGUCUCCACCCCUUUUGUAUCAGAACCCCAAUGUUCAAGGCCAAAAUGCACAUAAUCCUUCAAAAUAUCCAAUCUCUCUCCAGACCUAAUGUCCCAAUGCCUCUGUUCCUUGAUUAUUUCAGUAAAUAUCCAAGGUUUAAUUAGUGCUCCUCUAGCUAUCAUGCAUGAAGAGAGCUCAGGGCAGUCAGAUUUGUGCUUGUUCCAGCCUGUAUAUGAAAAGAUAUCCCCAUUUCCUAGUACUUGAAGAGAUUCCGGGGCCUUUCUAGUACAAUGGUAUAUGUAGUCCCAAUCAGCAAGCUUGCUGUAGCGUUGCUGGCGUGAUCUACCAUGUAUUGUUACAGCACUGGCCCCCCAAUUACCAAUGUCCUCAAUUAGUGAGUCAAUACGAUUUUUUCCUUCAAAGUAACCUGUUCGCACCUUCACAGUUAUAGGCUUCUCAACUGUGCCAGAAGCUGCAUUUAUAACCCUUUUCAUUCGCAUUGGUUUUGUAAGAAGACAUGACCCAGCACCCUUGUCAACAACAAUAUCAAUUGGGCAGCCCAUAUUUAUAUCUAUGAAGUCCACAUUACAUUCCUGAUCUAUAAGCUCCACAGUGCGUGCUACAGUAUCUGGAUAUGCCCCACAUAUUUGGACACCAAACAAAUCCUCAGAGGAAUGGCGCCUCAGCAGAGCCCAUUCAGAAGCUUGACCCUGUAAAAGAUUUGUACACAUUGCCAUUUCACCGCAAGUUACAUCAGCUCCCAAUACUUUGCAAACCCUUCGAAAAGGAAGAUUUCCAACAGUGGUCAAAGGUGCGAGAUACAACUUUCCUCUGAAGUCAAUCAACUUCUUUUCACGCAGGUGUAUUUUCAAACUUCCAUCUGUUUCUGUGAGUGCAUCAUCAAUCAUAACUUCUAAUUCUGUUUCUGGACAACUAUUUUCAAGAUCUUUCUCUGGAACACUUAAUCCANNNNNNNACACUUAAUCCAGAGCAGCACUUUUCUUCAAUAAUUGACUUCACUCUUUUCAGAGGCCUAAUUUCAUUAGUUGUUAUUAUUCCAUCAGCAUUCUCCCCGGUUCGCACUUCCAAAGAGCACUCCAAUUUAUCAGCAGAGUCACUGGCUACAGUAGCAUGAGAGUCAUUCACAGAGUUCUGAUCAACUUCCCCAUCAUCCUGCUUUUUUACUCUUGAAUUGCCAGGUCCCAUAAGACCAAGAGACUUGAGUUUAGCAUCUGCUUUGGGGAACUUCAUCUUAUUCUUCCACAAAAGCUUUUGAACAUCCUUGUUCAAUACAUUAAUUUCAGAGUUCUUCUUCAGCGCAUUCGAACUAUUGCCCUUAGCACCAUCUUCAUGUGUCCCAUAGAAUCUACAUGCCAAGCCAUAAGGACACGGCCCAUCUCCAUUAGUAAACGGACAUUUCCCCUCUAAAUCAGCCGGUUUCUCAGCCUUAAAGGCUUCUAUGUCAUGGCUGAAUCUGCACUUAUCACCAUAAGCACACGAACUAACGUCCUCACUCUUCGCUACCUCAGGGCACAGAUGCAAUGCAGAUUUCUGACGGCGUUCGCGUUUGAGUUGGCGUUUGGACUUCUUCUCCUUGGCUACUACACUUGACUUAGAGGCCUUGGCAUCGGCAUCGGAAACGGCAGUGUCCCUUUGGUUGGUUCUGGAAGGCGGAGGACGAAGGAACUCUCUCUUUACUGGAGCUAUGGCUUUGGCCACAAGCUCCUCCGGUGUUCGAUGAGUUCCAUUAGGGUUCAAAGGUUGUGAUGGUGGUUGGUCGACUAUAAGGUUCAUGUGUUCAAUGAGAUCGGCAGCAGACUCGGCCAUGUCGCACGAGUUAACUCACUCAACCAAUUCGGUGGCGGUGGCAGUGGGAGUGGCAGUUCAUCACCAGUUCAUGUAUCUUCGUACUUGAAUGGACAGUAGGGUUUAUUAAGGUCAUAA